ACUUAAAUUGAAGAGUUUGAUCAUGGCUCAGAUUGAACGCUGGCGGCAGGCCUAACACAUGCAAGUCGAGCGGUAGCACAGAGAGCUUGCUCUCGGGUGACGAGCGGCGGACGGGUGAGUAAUGUCUGGGAAACUGCCUGAUGGAGGGGGAUAACUACUGGAAACGGUAGCUAAUACCGCAUAACGUCGCAAGACCAAAGAGGGGG
This 206-nucleotide ribosomal RNA is filed under the name Lelliottia amnigena. RNAcentral's name for it is "partial 16S ribosomal RNA". It matches the Rfam family "Bacterial small subunit ribosomal RNA", at positions 1 to 210 of the family's 1533-position model. The record is from RNAcentral. Lineage: Bacteria; Pseudomonadati; Pseudomonadota; Gammaproteobacteria; Enterobacterales; Enterobacteriaceae.